This 253-nucleotide ribosomal RNA is filed under the name uncultured bacterium. Its description in RNAcentral is "partial 16S ribosomal RNA". It matches the Rfam family "Bacterial small subunit ribosomal RNA", at positions 524 to 776 of the family's 1533-position model. The record is from RNAcentral.
GACGUAGGGCGCGAGCGUUGUCCGGAUUUAUUGGGCGUAAAGAGCUCGUAGGCGGCUUGUUGCGUCGGCUGUGAAAACCCGCAGCUCAACUGUGGGCUUGCAGCCGAUACGGGCAGGCUUGAGUUCGGUAGGGGAGACUGGAAUUCCUGGUGUAGCGGUGAAAUGCGCAGAUAUCAGGAAGAACACCCGUGGCUAAGGCGGUUCUCUAGUACGGUACUGACGCUGAGACGCGAAAGCGUGGGGAGCGAACAGG